ACAGUGGACGCGAGCAUCUUUGUGGCUAAGUUAUAAAGAGCACACGGUGGAUGCCUAGGCACCAAGAGCCGAUGAAGGACGUAGGAGGCUGCGAUAAGCCUCGGGGAGCUGUCAACCGAGCUGUGAUCCGAGGAUUUCCGAAUGGGGAAACCCGGCAGGAGUCAUGUCCUGUCACCCGCACCUGAACACAUAGGGUGCGUGGAGGGAACGUGGGGAAGUGAAACAUCUCAGUACCCACAGGAAGAGAAAGCAACCGCGAUUCCGUGAGUAGUGGCGAGCGAAAGCGGAAGAGGCUAAACCGAUUGCGUGUGAUAGCCGGCAGGCGUUGCGCAUUCGGGGUCGUGGGACCAUUGAGGUCGGGCUGCCGCCCGUCCAGGGAGUAAGAAAAACUCGUGUUAGGCGAAUGGCAUUGGAAAAACCAGGCGCAGAGGGUGACACCCCCGUAGCCGAAAACUCGAGUUCUCCCCAGUGGUAUCCCAAGUAGCAGCGAGCCCGUGAAAUUCGCUGUGAAUCCGGCGGGACCACCCGCUAAGCCUAAAUACUACUUGGUGACCGAUAGCGGACUAGUACCGUGAGGGAAAGGUGAAAAGUACCCCGGGAGGGGAGUGAAAUAGUACCUGAAACCGUGUGCUUACAAUCCGUCGGAGCGGCCCUUGCGGCUGUGACGGCGUGCCUUUUGAAGAAUGAGCCUGCGAGUUAGUGGUAUGUGGCAAGGUUAACCCGUGUGGGGAAGCCGUAGCGAAAGCGAGUCCGAACAGGGCGUUUGAGUCGCAUGCUCUAGACCCGAAGCGAAGUGAUCUACCCAUGGCCAGGAUGAAGCGACGGUAAGACGUCGUGGAGGUCCGAACCCACCAGGGUUGAAAACCUGGGGGAUGAGCUGUGGGUAGGGGUGAAAGGCCAAUCAAACUUCGUGAUAGCUGGUUCUCCCCGAAAUGCAUAUAGGUGCAGCGUCGCGUGUUUCUUACCGGAGGUAGAGCACUGGAUGGUCUAGGGGGCCCACAAGCUUACCGAAAUCAACCAAACUCCGAAUGCCGGUAAGUGAGAGCGCGGCAGUGAGACUGUGGGGGCUAAGCUUCAUAGUCGAGAGGGAAACAGCCCAGAUCGCCGGUUAAGGUCCCUAAGCGUGUGCUAAGUGGGAAAGGAUGUGGAGUCGCACAGACAACCAGGAGGUUGGCUUAGAAGCAGCCACCCUUUAAAGAGUGCGUAAUAGCUCACUGGUCAAGUGAUUCCGCGCCGACAAUGUAGCGGGGCUCAAGCACACCACCGAAACCGCGGCAUUCACACAUCGAUCGGCCCCUUUGGGGUCCAGUCGUGUGGAUGGGUAGGGGAGCGUCGUGUGGCGAGUGAAGCGGCGGGGUAACCCAGCCGUGGACGCCACACGAGUGAGAAUGCAGGCAUGAGUAGCGAAUGGGGAGUGAGAACCUCCCCCACCGAUUGACCAAGGGUUCCUGGGCCAGGCUAAUCCGCCCAGGGUGAGUCGGGACCUAAGGCGAGGCCGACAGGCGUAGUCGAUGGACAACGGGUUGAUAUUCCCGUACCCGCGAAAGAGCGCCCAUG
RNAcentral lists this ribosomal RNA (1557 nucleotides) under Nakamurella alba. RNAcentral's name for it is "partial 23S ribosomal RNA". It matches the Rfam family "Bacterial large subunit ribosomal RNA", at positions 1 to 1463 of the family's 2925-position model. Lineage: Bacteria; Bacillati; Actinomycetota; Actinomycetes; Nakamurellales; Nakamurellaceae. The record is from RNAcentral.